Non-coding RNA from Rhodotorula diobovata, 83 nucleotides. The record is from the annotation of a GenBank genome assembly. NCBI's taxonomy places the organism in Eukaryota, Fungi, Basidiomycota, Microbotryomycetes, Sporidiobolales, Sporidiobolaceae.
AGCGUCUUGGAACAGUGGCAGUUCGUUGGGCUCAUACUUGCUUUGCGACCCAAAAGUCCCUGGAUCGAGACCAGGAGACGCUA